This 1503-nucleotide ribosomal RNA is filed under the name uncultured bacterium. Its description in RNAcentral is "bacterial SSU rRNA". It matches the Rfam family "Bacterial small subunit ribosomal RNA". The record is from RNAcentral.
AGAGUUUGAUCCUGGCUCAGAAUGAACGCUGGCGGCGUGCCUAACACAUACAAGUCGGAUGUGCCCGCAAGGGUGCAUGGCAGACGGGUGAGUAACGCGUGGGGAAUCUACCUUUUUGUGGGGAAUAACGUUCCGAAAGGAAUGGUAAUACCGCAUGUGAUCGUGGUUUGGGAUAGCCACGAUGAAAGCUGGGGACCGUAAGGCCUAGCGCAAGAAGAGGAUCCUGCGUCUGAUUAGCUAGUUGGUGAGGUAAUGGCCCACCAAGGCGACGAUCAGUAGCCGGCCUGAGAGGGUGAUCGGCCACACUGGAACUGAGACACGGUCCAGACUCCUACGGGAGGCAGCAGUGGGGAAUUUUGCGCAACGGACGAAAGUCUGACGCAGCAACGCCGCGUGGGUGAUGAAGGUCUUCGGAUCGUAAAACCCUGUCGUCAGGGACGAAGUGUUGAGGCCUAAUACGUCUUAACAUUGACGGUACCUGGAGAGGAAGCCCCGGCUAACUCUGUGCCAGCAGCCGCGGUAAUACAGAGGGGGCAAGCGUUAUUCGGAAUUAUUGGGCGUAAAGGGCGCGUAGGCGGUUUUUUAAGUCAGAUGUGCAAUCCCCGAGCUUAACUUGGGAACUGCAUCUGAGACUGGAAGACUCGAGUGCUGGAGAGGGUGGUAGAAUUCCACGUGUAGCGGUGAAAUGCGUAGAGAUGUGGAGGAAUACCAGUGGCGAAGGCGGCCACCUGGACAGUAACUGACGCUGAGGCGCGAAAGUGUGGGUAGCAAACAGGAUUAGAUACCCUGGUAGUCCACGCCCUAAACGAUGCGAACUGGACGUUGGGCACACUUAGGUGCUCAGUGUCGAAGCUAACGCGUUAAGUUCGCCGCCUGGGGAGUACGGUCGCAAGACUGAAACUCAAAGGAAUUGACGGGGGCCCGCACAAGCGGUGGAGUAUGUGGUUUAAUUCGAUGCAACGCGAAGAACCUUACCUGGCCUUGACAUGUCCGGAAUCCUGCAGAGAUGCGGGAGUGCCUUCGGGAAUCGGAACACAGGUGCUGCAUGGCUGUCGUCAGCUCGUGUCGUGAGAUGUUGGGUUAAGUCCCGCAACGAGCGCAACCCUUGUCCUUAGUUGCCAGCGAGUAAUGUCGGGAACUCUAAGGAGACUGCCGGUGACAAACCGGAGGAAGGUGGGGAUGACGUCAAGUCAUCAUGGCCCUUACGGCCAGGGCUACACACGUACUACAAUGGUCGGUACAGAGGGUUGCAAUACCGCGAGGUGGAGCCAAUCCCAGAAAGCCGAUCUCAGUCCGGAUCGGAGUCUGCAACUCGACUCCGUGAAGUCGGAAUCGCUAGUAAUCGCGAAUCAGCAUUGUCGCGGUGAAUACGUUCCCGGGCCUUGUACACACCGCCCGUCACACCAUGGGAGUGGGUUGCUCCAGAAGCAGGUAGCGUAACCGUAAGGAGCGCGCUUGCCACGGAGUGGUUCAUGACUGGGGUGAAGUCGUAACAAGGUAACC